Molecule: non-coding RNA, 212 nt
Organism: Pelobates cultripes (western spadefoot toad)
Lineage: Eukaryota; Metazoa; Chordata; Amphibia; Anura; Pelobatidae
Source: the annotation of a GenBank genome assembly
GCACUCAGGCUCAAAAAGGUUCGCCAUCACUCCCCUAGAUGAAUCUUUCAAGACCAAGGUGAAAACCACUUUGGCAUAGACGGCAUGGUUCUCGGCUGAGGUGGUGACGGGUUGAGAUCCCCUGGCAGUAAUUCCUUGAUGGGCAUAUCUCAACAUAUUCUCGAACACUGGCUUACCAUUGUGUUGGAGGGCCGGGGGCUAAGGCAAACUGG